UCACCCGGGAGGAGUGGGAGCUUUUAUCCCAACCAGAGAAGCAGCUGUACCGGGACCAGAUGCUGAGGAAUUAUUGGGCCCUCGUUUCCCUGGGCUCUUCAGGUUCCAAACCGGACUUAAUCCACCGGAUCGAGAUAGGGGAGGCAGAACUCUGGAUCUGGGAUGCCGAGGGCUCCAGGAUAAACUCUGGGCCUGAGAGCCCCCCCUCAGUAUUUAAAAUGAACAACGGUGAAAUCAAAAGAAAAAGGUCUGCUUAUCACGCAGCGUUCAAACUUAAAGUUGUUGAAUAUGCAGAAGCAAACAAUAAUUGCGCCGCUGCUCGUGAAUUCUGUAUUAAUGAGAAGCAAGUAAGAGAAUGGCGAAAAAAUAAAACAACACUAAAAGACAUGCCAAGAAGCAAGAAAAAAUGUCCAACGAGGUGCGCUUCAUUUCCUGAGCUAGAGAAAGAUCUCAAUAAUUGGGUUGUUGAAUGUCGACAAAAUGGGUACAUUGUCACUAGAACGGGAAUUCGUCUGCGUGCUCUGCAAAUGUCGAAAGACGACAAGUACAAGUCAGUAAAGCCGUCAAUGUUUGUCGCAUCAGCGGGUUGGUGUACUCGCUUCAUGAACCGUCACGGUCUCUGUCUUUGUCAGCGAACAAAGAUAGCGCAAAAGCUGCCGAGAGAUCUGGAAGAAAAAAUCGAAUCUUUCCAAAGGUUUAUUAUAAAAUAUCGAAAGGAAUAUGCAUUUGAACUGUCACAAAUAGGAAAUAUGGAUGAAACACCAAUGACAUUCGAUCUCCCGAGCAACAGAACGGUAACUGGUGUUGGUGAAAAAACAGUUUUAAUUAAAACCACUGGCCAUGAAAAAAUCUAUUUUACAGUGGUUUUAUCGUGUUUGGCAAAUGGAUCAAAGCUCCCUCCUGUUGUUAUUUUUAAAAGAAAAACCUUGCCUAAAAACAUGAAAUUUCCUGCUGGUGUCAUCAUACGUGCACACGAAAAGGGAUGGAUGGAUGAAAAUGGGACUAUUGAAUGGCUGGAAAAAGUGUGGAAUAAGAGACCAGGAGCACUUUUCAAGAAACCUGCUAUGCUCGUUUGGGACAUGUUCAGGGCACACAAGACUGAUGAGGUGAAAAAUGUGGCCAAAAAUAUGAAAACUACUUUGGCUGUAGUACCUGGAGGCUUAACUUCAGUUCUACAACCGCUUGAUGUCUGCCUGAACAAACUCUUUAAAGACAGGCUACGCAAAAUGUGGUCUGAAUGGAUGUGCUCAGGCAUGGCAAAGUUGACAAAAGGCGGGAAUCUUAUGAAGCCCGAAAUCAAUCUGGUCGCCCAGUGGAUCAAGGACGCGUGGGUAUCCAUUCCUUCGGAAAUGGUAGAAAAAUCAUUUAGGAAAUGCUGUAUCAGUAAUGCACUCGACGGGUCAGAAGAUGAUGCCAUAUUUGAUGACGCAAGAGAGGCUGCUGAUGAGAAGGAAUCCGAGUCUGAAGAUGACACUGCCAACAUCUACGAUGACAAUGCAGGUGCAGCUGUGACUGAAGCUGAGUUUAAUGAACUGUUUGGUGAAUCAGAGACUAAUUCAGACUUCGAAGGAUUUUAAGACUUUUUAAAGUCUCAUAUUGUUCUAAGUUACUUGUUUUAAAUAUCCAUUUACUGAUUUUAAAUAUUGACUGUAAUUUUGAAGGUGAAUACAUAUUUGUUCAGUUAUUAUUAUAACAACAACACGUUUUUCAUUAGAUUACAUUAAAAUAAU
This is a long non-coding RNA of Emys orbicularis (European pond turtle), 1730 nucleotides long. RefSeq lists it as uncharacterized. The record is from RefSeq and is a predicted model, not a curated record. The transcript is spliced from 3 exons. Lineage: Eukaryota; Metazoa; Chordata; Testudines; Emydidae.